UACGUAGGGUGCAAGCGUUGUCCGGAAUUAUUGGGCGUAAAGAGCUCGUAGGCGGUUUGUAGCGUCUGCUGUGAAAACUCGGGGCUUAACUCCGGGCCUGCAGUGGGUACGGGCAGACUAGAGUGCGGUAGGGGAGACUGGAAUUCCUGGUGUAGCGGUGAAAUGCGCAGAUAUCAGGAGGAACACCGGUGGCGAAGGCGGGUCUCUGGGCCGUAACUGACGCUGAGGAGCGAAAGCGUGGGGAGCGAACAGG
RNAcentral lists this ribosomal RNA (253 nucleotides) under uncultured bacterium. RNAcentral's name for it is "partial 16S ribosomal RNA". It matches the Rfam family "Bacterial small subunit ribosomal RNA", at positions 524 to 776 of the family's 1533-position model. The record is from RNAcentral.